RNAcentral lists this ribosomal RNA (253 nucleotides) under uncultured bacterium. RNAcentral describes it as "partial 16S ribosomal RNA". It matches the Rfam family "Bacterial small subunit ribosomal RNA", at positions 524 to 776 of the family's 1533-position model. The record is from RNAcentral.
UACGUAGGGUGCAGGCGUUAAUCGGAAUUACUGGGCGUAAAGCGUGCGCAGGCGGUCUAUUAAGACAGGUGUGAAAUCCCCGGGCUUAACCUGGGAACUGCGCUUGUAACUGAUAGGCUUGAGUGUGGCAGAGGGGGGUGGAAUUCCAGGUGUAGCAGUGAAAUGCGUAGAUAUCUGGAGGAACACCGAUGACGAAGGCAGCCCCCUGGGCUAACACUGACGCUCAUGCACGAAAGCGUGGGGAGCAAACAGG